This 2275-nucleotide long non-coding RNA is filed under the name Homo sapiens (human). RNAcentral's name for it is "non-protein coding LINC01833:43". The record is from RNAcentral. Lineage: Eukaryota; Metazoa; Chordata; Mammalia; Primates; Hominidae.
UAUUAUUCUCAUUCCAUUUUUGCUCCUUCCUUUCCUACUCAAGAUAUUUGAGGCAUGAGCAAUCUGUGACUCUAAUUAAGGGGGUGACAGCCCCAACCAGGCCACCAUGCAGGCUUAUAAUCCACUCAUACACCCAGCUUUCUCCAUAAUGGCUUUAUUCUUUUCCUCCAAGGUUCAAAAUCACCAUGACUUCUCCCCCACAAAAAAAAAAAAAAAAAGAAAAAGAAAACUGACUCUGAAUCAUAAAUCCUGGCUCCCAAAUAUUGGCCAUAAUUGGGUAGGUGAGAUGUAUCUUGUAUGUCUGGGUGGAAGAGGCUCCUUUCUCCCUGGUGAUUCAUUUUCAGAACACACGGCCAUCCUUCCAAUGGCUUUGAGUUUCACGUCACCACCGGAAAGACCUGCCAGUUUCUUCCUGUUUGUGUGCCUGUCCACUGCCAUCAUGCUACUCCCAGGACUAUGGCUUCUGGGCACUCACUCACCCUUCAACAUGGCUUGUUCACUCCAGUUCUCCCUUUCCAAAUGUUCUCAAUCCCCUGGGCUGUGCGCCAAGGGGGAUUCAGCCCUUGCCCACCGGCUAUGGUCUGAAUGUUUGUGUCUUCCCCAGAUUAAUAUGUUGAAAUUUAAUCACAAAUGUGAUGGUGUAAUAAGGUGGGGACUUUGGGACUUUAUUAGGUCAUGGAGGGGGAGCCUCAUAAAAAAGGCUGCCUUGCCCCCUCCAUCGUGUAAAUCACCAUCUGUGAACCAGGAAAUGGGCCCUCACCAGACACCGAAUCUGCCGGUUCCUUGAUCUCGGACUUCCCAGUCUCCAGAACUGUGGGAAACACAUUUCUGUUGUUUAUGAGCCACCCAGUUUAAGGUAUUUUGUUAUAGCAGCCCAGAUGGACUAGGCCACCACCAUAGUCAGGGAAGAGCUGGCUGAUUUGUGCGUGUCUGCGCUGUGUCCCAAUGAAAGCACAAUAAUCAAUGAACAUUGAUUCUGCAAUCGAUGUUUGAAGGUCAAAGGAGUUGGGAAAGGGGGUCUCCUGAAGCCAAGGAAAAGCAUUGUACUCCCCAAAACUGUGCCAGCCAGGUUAACUUUUUGCGAGAUGCUACAGAUUGAGAUGCUUUAGUUUUACUUCUGGCUCUUUAAGCCCUACUCAAGCUCUAAUUUUGAUAUCUCGUUCUAGACGCCUUAGUUUGGGCCCCUCCCAGGCUCCCUUCUGUUUUUGUUCUUUUUUUCUAACAUCAUCCUUGGCUUUUCUUCUCCUUUAGGUUUGAUCUCCUGUCUCUUGGGUUGAGAAACCAUCCCCUCUGACUCCUGGCCCCCUGUGACCCCUCCAAAGCCCCCUGUACAGGUCUUUGGCCACACAGAGAUUCAACAGUCUAAUAAUCUAAAAUUGUAAAUGCCACAAUUUGUGUGCGUGUUUACUGUGUCUCAGUUUUGAGUUCUUUUUGAAAUCUUUUAGUUAUUCCAGAAGGGAUAGGAUAAAGAGAAGAAAUCAGUUAUACUCCCAGUGGCCAGGCAUGGUAGGGCAGAAAGAGUGUUGACACUCACUACCCCUGCAGGGGGAGAGGGCAGAGGACCCAGGUUAACUACCCAGAGAUGAGAUGGAUCCUGGUCUAACUCAGGCCCUGGGAUACCUGCACCAAUUGCUCUCAGCAGGUCGAGACAUCACAGAAGAAGAGAAGACAUGUCAACUCUCUACAAUAGUGUCUUAGCCCUGGAGAUACUAUUGGAGAGUGACAACAGACAGCAAACAGGGUUCUAUUCAUAGUGGCCAUGGUUUCCCCAAGCAGAGAACAUAUCCAACCAAAGGGACUUCAGCAAAGCUUUUCCUAAUCUGUGCUCUGAAAUGGCUAAGUAGAAGAGAGCUAUCUAGAGUGUAUGAGGAUGUCUUUAAAGUCAACCUUGCAAUAACUAUUGCAUGCAGACUGUAAUUGUGGGCUAAAAGUGAAGGCUGUUUUGUUAGGUGAGACCCUUCCAGAGCACCUCCUGCAUAUGUACACACAUUCUCUCUCUCUCUGUCUCACACACACACACACACACACCUCCCCCCACAACACACACACACACACACACACACACAACCUCCCCCCACAACACACACACACACACACACACACACACACCUCCCCCCACAACCCACACACACAAAACCAACCCCAUCCCAGGGAACCCAACAGUCAUAGAUCUCAUCUGGAGUCCAACUCCUAAUCCAGGUGUCAUGAUCAUCACGUGAGAGAUAGCAGAAUCUCCACCAAUUUUGGAAAGAACUACUCAAGUGUUUUCUAAAAG